RNAcentral lists this ribosomal RNA (861 nucleotides) under Triticum aestivum (bread wheat). RNAcentral describes it as "partial small subunit ribosomal RNA". The record is from RNAcentral. Lineage: Eukaryota; Viridiplantae; Streptophyta; Magnoliopsida; Poales; Poaceae.
AUGCAGAGGACAGUGCACGAUCUCAAAAUUUGGGCAAAGUCUCUCUUUAGCGAUGCAAAGGUUCAGUUCCACUUGGCGUGCGAAGUAAUCUUGAGACUCGAUAUAGCUCAAGAAAAAAGAGGUCUGACGCAACAAGAAUUCUGGUUAAGGAAACAACUAAAACUUCAUACCCUUGGACUGGCUGCAGUAGAGAGAGCAAGGAAAAGACAGGCUUCAAGGAUAACCUGGCUCAAGGCGGGAGAUGCAAGAACGGCCUUCUUCCAAGCAAAGAUCAUCUCCAGAAGGUGGAAGAACUUUAUACACUCCCUGCAAACAGAAACAAGGACAGCCACUGCGCACGAGGAAAAGAAAGCAAUUGCUCAUGAUCACUUUGCAAAUCUGCUGGGGAAAAAGGAGGAAAGGCGAUGCUCCAUCAACUGGGAGGAAUUGGAUAUGCCAAGUAUUCAAAACGAGGGGCUGGACAAUCCUUUCUCGGAGCCUGAAGUUUGGGCUGCCAUCAUGGCAUCUCCAGCAGAGAAAGCGCCAGGCCCUGACGGCUUUUCGGGAACUUUCUUCAGAGCUUGCUGGGGUACCAUUAAAGACGUCAUGGCAAUGUUCGAUCACUUCUACAACCUAGCUGAUGGUAACUUUGCUGAAAUUAACUCAGCAAUGAUCACCCUCUUGCCCAAGAAGGACGGAGCCACUAGAAUGAACAACUACAGACCUAUAAGUCUGAUACAUUCCAUCGCCAAGCUGAUCACUAAAGUGCUAUCCAUGAGGCAGGCGGCCAUUAUGGACAAGAUUAUCUCCCCUGCUCAAACGGCCUUUCAACGCGGGAAAUGCAUCCAUGACAGCUACCUUUACGUGCAAAAUUCUGCCUGA